This 232-nucleotide ribosomal RNA is filed under the name uncultured bacterium. RNAcentral's name for it is "partial 16S ribosomal RNA". It matches the Rfam family "Bacterial small subunit ribosomal RNA", at positions 99 to 334 of the family's 1533-position model. The record is from RNAcentral.
CGGACGGGUGAGUAAUGUAUGGGGAUCUGCCUGAUGGCGGGGGGUAACUACUGGAAACGGUAGCUAAUACCGCAUAAUGUCUACGGACCAAAGCGGGGGACCUCCGGGCCUCGCGCCAUCAGAUGAACCCAUAUGGGAUUAGCUAGUAGGUGGGGUAACGGCUCACCUAGGCGACGAUCCCUAGCUGGUCUGAGAGGAUGACCAGCCACACUGGAACUGAGACACGGUCCAG